GGUAUAAUUGUAAAAAAUGAUUAAAAAUACUAUUUUCCUUGCUUGCCUUAAAAAUUGUGCAAAUUUCAAAUAGGUCACUUAGGAGUGGGACGGAGGGAGUAUUAUGGUAGCUACACUUGAGAUUAUUUUGAUAGGUGUAGAUGGAGAAAAGACAAACGUUGUUUAGCAACUUAGCUCAUGGAACUGAUAAUGUGAUGCUUAAAUUUUAAUUAUUAAAACUAAAGCUAGAUUACCCCUUCUUUUUUAUUGCAAUCUCUAAUAGAACUAGUAUCAAGGUAGCUGACUGUGUUGCAAAUUCUGCUGGAAAGACAGUCUCAUGAACAGAGAUUUCCAUCACCCCCACCACCCAUUACUUACAUUUUCACCUCAUGCCCUUGUAGACUAAUAUGUAUGUAGUAGACGUUCCUUACCCUUCUCUGUCUGAAUCCAUUUAAGAGAAGUGCUAUAAAUUUCAAGAUUGUGUCUAUCAGUCUAUGUAGAAACCAAACAAAAAUCUUGGAAACAAAAUACUGAUUUUUAACAUCAUGGGUUAGUUCAAGUUUUCCUUACUAACUUAAUAGCACAAUUUCUGGAUUAUUUCCAAUUUUUACCUUGAAAACAAGGCGUGUUUGUACACUUUUCUGAGUUUUGGGAGAAUUAGAGAUAGAAAUUAUAAGGUAUGACAACAAUUUGAAAGUUCUGCUGCAGUGAUCUUCUUCACAUCAUAACCCCGAUACUGAACAUCAUUGAGAUCUGCAGACACUGCAAGUAUUGCUAUGUUUUUUCUCUUCUUGAUUGUUAAUUUUGGAAUAAUAUCAGGGUUUUACUUUCCAACUUCAUGUUGCUUUAUCAUGGUAUUUAUCCACCAUUGCUGUAUGGUCAUAUUAUUAUACAUUUACUUAGUGUAAGAAUGAGACAUCUGUUCCGAACAUUUUGUGCCCAUGGAUAUAGGUGAGCCGGAGCUGGAACAUUAGAAUCUUCAAGGAUCUCCAUUUUCCCCCAAACUAUCCUUACCAGUUUGAAUAACAUCACGGCUCCUUUUGGCUUGGCAAAGUCCUAGUGAAAUACGUACAAUGUAGGUCCUUGUGCAGGGGAGUUAUCAUUCAUCCUUUUGCACUACCUCUCCUCCCGGUCAUGAAAUUCUACGUUGUUCUGGCAACGGACUUGCUCAAGUUGCUUCUGCAAGAGACAUACCAUAUCUAUCAGUGUCACUCGCACCACUUAGGCUAAGUCUUAUGGGCUAGAUAUCUAGCUGCUAGAUUGGCCAUCCACGUCGGCCUGGGCAACCUCCUAAGUCUUAUGGUGUGUCUAAUCUAGCAGAUAAUCGCUGAAUAGAACGGCAUUGGGCGCCUAAUGAUUCGGCACGAACACAUUUCCUUCUUUCCCGGCAUGAAAAAGUACGAGAUAGUUUAUAUAAAAAUUGUUUGUAUUUCUUCUCUAUCCCAUACGGGACCACUAGACCAUGUCAGACAAUAUACAUAUUACGUUCAUCAAAGACAAUAUGCAUCACUAGUCCAUAGGGGUUAGCCUCAAUGCACAAACAAAAACUAAAAAGGGAACAACAAAAAUGAGCAAAAAUUACUUCCUCACUGGUCCUAAAUUUAUAUGAGAAAAUGAAUUUCCUUCUUUUUCUUUAAUGGGCCGGCACUGUCUGCGGCAGUCUAUCUUCACCGGAAGUGCUUCAGCUAUAUCCCAUCCAACUCCAAAGAUUUUUACCGUAUAAAUUCAUUAUUACAGCAGCAGAAUAGAAAUAUUUUUAACCAUCCUCUAAGAAAGUAAUAAAACCCCCAUCCACUCAAAUAUAUUUAAAUCAAAAAAGUUGUCCGUUUUGUACUCUUCCUCUACUAGUGAUUUCUAGCCCUAGGGCAAAAUAUUGUUGUUGCAAAUGGAGAAGAAGACGGCUGCUGCUGCUGGUGGUGAUGAUAAACAGCCGCCGCCUCCUGAGAAGAGUUUAAUGAUACCUCCAGAUGAAGAACGCUGUUGCAGAAACGAUGGAGUCAGAUGGAGAUGUACCAAACCCAGGAUGAAUCUUGGUGUUUCUAAGGAUGAUGAUGGUCUUGAUACUAAGUAUUGUGACAACCAUUACAAUUUCUUUAAAGAGCGGAAUAAGAACAAUAAGCAGCAGCCUGAGAACAAUCAGCAGCAGCAGAAGAAGCACAAGAAGAAGAAGAAGAAGAGAAGAAGAAGAAAACUGGUAGUGAAGAUGCUGAUGAUUCUAGUAGCAGUGGUACAGAAACUUGGGAUUCAACUUUCUUGGAUUGGAAGAAGGUAAAGUACCAUGGAAAGGGAAUUCGACCAGCUCCUACUACUAAUGAUACCACCUCUGAUAUAGAAGGUGGUUCUGCCAAAGUUGGGACCAAGAGGAAAACACCGGAAAGAAAGGAAUUGUCUGGAGAGGUAGAUUUUACAGAUUUUUUAAUAGAAAAACCUUCUUUGAUCACUUCAAAUAAGAUGAAGCUGCCUCCAGAUGAACAGUAUUGUUGUCACACAACUGGUAAUGGAUAUAGAUGCAAGAAUUUUAGGAUGAGUCAUGGUGCUGCUGAUGAUGCUAGUGUUCCUAAGACCAAAUUUUGUGAAAAAAAUUACAAUUAUUAUUCAAAUUAUAUUAAGAAUCGUAAGAAGAAGAAGAAGAAGAAGAGGAUGGAGAAGAUGAAGCUGCCUCCAGAUGAACAGCGUUGUUGUCUGCUGCUGAUACUAGUAUUCCUAAGACCAAAUUUUGUGAAAAACAUUACAACUAUUAUUCAAGUUAUAAUAAGAAUUAUUAUUAUAGCAAGAAGAAGAGAAGUGGAGAUGGUGAAGGUGCAGCUGGUCCUAUUGGGAUGAAAGGGAAAACUGUGGAAAGAACGGAAGGGUCUGGAGAACCAGAAUCAUCAACAAAACCUAGGGGACCUAUGGUUAAAUUUGAGAGUAUGGAAAAUCAUAAGAGCAGGUGUCUAUGGAGCUUGAGAAGAAGAAAAUGGAGUGCAUUAAACUCCAGGCUGAAUUAGUGGAUGUAAAGGCUAGAAAGAAUGCUGCUAAAGAUGGGACUGAAUGGGCGCUUGAAGAUGCACCUGAAUAUUGGAGGAAGAUGUUUUUCGGUUUGGAGAAUCGAGUUCUGAGGAUAGAAAAUGAAAAUUCAACAAUGAGAUGUGUAGAGUCUCGUCUUUCUAGUUUGGAGAGCCUAGUCCUGAGGAAUGGAAAGGGUAAUUCAAAGUUGAGAUGUGUAGAUUUACGUAACAGAGUGUCUGAAACGCGAUGUUUGCAGAAUGAUGUUACUCAAAGUGGUGAAAAACAAAGAUAUAAAGACUACAUGAGCAAGCCUAAUGCUGGAACCAGCAGAGGGGGAGACAAGGAUUCUUAUGUGUCAUAAAUGCAAACAGAAGAGAAGAUGCUGAAAAAUGUGUACGACAUUGGCAGUGGCAGCAAUAAACGUCAUGAAUUGGAGUCUGAAUUUCCCCAAUACUCUCCUGUUAACAUAUCAUCUAUAAGUGGGGAUUUAUCAAGUGGGGCUGAAAAUGUCAAAGAAGGGAAGGUUUUGGGGGCUGUGGGGAGGAGACACCAUCCCAAGCUCAUUCUGCAAUGGGUAAGAAGCCUUUUGUGAAAUUGGUCUCAGAUAGCGGUGGUGAAUCUUUGGGGGAAGAUUCUGAUACUUCUGAUUCAGAAGAUUCUCUUGCUGACCUUAUGGACAUGAUAGCGAUGAAAUGUAGGAACAGUAAGGAUGACAGAAAUAAAAUGGAAGUUUGAGUCUGACAUGCUUUCUUCAUUUGAAGAGGAUCCUGAGCUAUGUCUGAAAGCUGUUUGUGCUCUCCAACGACAGCAAACAUCUGAAGACGCCAAGCGGUUGUUCCAUUAUAGUGAUGCGCUUCGGGGUACUACUUUGGCCAAGUUUCUAAUGGAUGGAGCCUGCGCAGGCGACCUCAAGAAGUCUGUUAAAGAGUUGGAGACCUUCGAUUCCAAAGCGGUUGAAGACUGUAAGAGGCUGGCUAGAAGUUACUCGAAGCAGUUAUUCAGUAUCUACCAAAACAAAAAAGAUCCUUAUUUCCUUCCUACUACAACUGCCAGCCAAUGAGAUCAAACUACUAAAUGAUAGAUUGCUGUGUAAGUGGCCUUCACUUUUUUUGACUAGGCAUUACAACCUUGCAUUUCCUUUUAAACUCCCCAAAUUUUGACUCUCCAAUGCAGCGAGUGAUGCUAUAUUAUAUGGUAGCUAUACUUGUUUAGCUCAUGGAACUGAUAUUGAGAUGUGUAAAAUCUUGUUACUGAAAUUAAAGCAAGCUAGAC
Long non-coding RNA from Papaver somniferum (opium poppy), 4239 nucleotides. RefSeq lists it as uncharacterized. The record is from RefSeq and is a predicted model, not a curated record. The transcript has 3 exons. NCBI's taxonomy places the organism in Eukaryota, Viridiplantae, Streptophyta, Magnoliopsida, Ranunculales, Papaveraceae.